Molecule: non-coding RNA, 111 nt
Filed under: uncultured Merdimonas sp.
Lineage: Bacteria; Bacillati; Bacillota; Clostridia; Lachnospirales; Lachnospiraceae
Description: FMN riboswitch (RFN element)
Rfam family: FMN riboswitch aptamer (RFN element)
About the family: The RFN element is a highly conserved domain that is found frequently in the 5'-untranslated regions of prokaryotic mRNAs that encode for flavin mononucleotide (FMN) biosynthesis and transport proteins. This element is a metabolite-dependent riboswitch that directly binds FMN in the absence of proteins. In Bacillus subtilis, the riboswitch most likely controls gene expression by causing premature transcription termination within the 5' untranslated region of the ribDEAHT operon and precluding access to the ribosome-binding site of ypaA mRNA.
Source: RNAcentral
UUCUUCGGGGUCGGGUGCAAGUCCCAACCGGCGGUAGAGUCCGCGACCCGCAUUUUGCGGCUGAUCCGGUGAGAUUCCGGAACCGACAGUAUAGUCUGGAUGAGAGAAGAG